CCAUUGCUCUUCGAGUGUCGUCUUUUUCCUCGCGAUCACUCGACAAAGAAAACACUGUUAAUAAAUUUUGGAAAUUGUUUAAAAUAUUGGGCGAAAGUGUGACGUGAAAAAUUUCUUUAUGUUCUCGGCGUCGCGAAUUAUUCUACACAACUCCUCUUCUCUUGCACAACGCUGCCAUGACGCGCACGCACUUUUUCAGCACUGGUUCGUUUCAUCGUGAUCUCAAGGAAAGAGGAAGAGUAGACGAAGCAAAUGGUGGGGAUGGAAGAAGAAACGAGGGAAGAAGGAAUUAUUGCGCGACACGUCACGUGAGACUGUCGUCUGCCUUGUACAUAAGAAGCGGAACUGGACCGUGUGACACGCGCUUACGCACGUGGAACAAUGGAUGUUUCGUUCUAAAUUGCGUUUGAAGACACCAGGAAAUGCGAUAGAAAUUAAUCGAAAUCGUUGAUUUAAUUCAGUCGAAAGUUCUUACGACUUCUCGUCUUUUUUACUUCUAUCGGUUUUACGUGUUUUCUAAAGCUAAAGCUAUAGCUUUCUAACUUAGUGAAAAAUAAAAAAGAUCAGAGAAUUAUUUGUCUCUUUCAUGUCUAUGAAACAUGGUAAGCUUGGAAAUUGAUGGAGAUAAUUAAUUAAAUUUAAUCGAAAUUUCUUAAGAUUUCUCGCCUUCUGUUUCUGCAUUCGUAUAUUUUUUCAAGAAAUGCGACAGGUUCGGAAAUCAGUGGAAAUAGUGAAUUCUGUGCAGUGAUUCUAGGAUUACUUGAAUGCUUAAACUUUUACGAAUUUUUAACACUUUCGCAAGAGACAAACUCUGAAAUUAGUCGAGACAACUGUUUUAGUAUAAUUAGGUUAAUUCAGUCGAGGAUUUCUACGAUUUCUCAUACUUCGAUGAAUUUUCUAAAUUUUUGUCUCACUGAGUCACGUACUUUCACGUAUUAAUUAGCAAUGUUCUACAACAGUUUGAUCGCGUCGGUAAAAACGUUUCCGCUUAAUGCACUCGCUCCAAAGAAGUAACUAUUUCCUUCUAUCUAGUGGACAGGUAGGAUUUCUUGCUCUUACUAGUGCUGAUAGCAUAAACUGUUCUUAGUUUCAUAGAGUUCGCAAACGAAAACACUGGUUCGUAUUGUUGUAUACUUACUUUUAUGCUAUGCGCACACAUAUUAACGGGCGUUUAUUGCAGUAUAAGAUAUCGGGAAUUUAAACGAGUGAUGUAACACCGCUCGCUUCAAAGCUUUGUAAAUACAAAUCGUCUUCUAGUGUUUGUGGCUCUUGUCUAUGUACGUAAUUUGAACAAGUGUUCCAUCUCUAUUUGAGGCUACAUUUACGUAAUGCCAACGUAAUUUUUUUUACAACAGCUUGUAUCUCAUCGUUCGUACAUAGGUAACAAUGUUCGUUGGUCAAUUUUAACACUUUACUGACCGCUAGCGGUUCAAAAGUAUACGCGCGUCCGACCGGCAGCUCAGGCGCAGAUUCUCCCUGGCGCCGGCUCUGUUCCGGUUUAGACUCUCCAAUACCAUUCUUUUCGUUCAUCACGAUCGAAGGGAACUUUCUUUGUUUUACCUGAACCACGUUGGUGUUAGACUAGGCGUUCCUCUAAUACCGCAAUCGAGAUAUAAUCUUCCGUUUAUUCUGCUAGUUGUGUCUAAGAGGCUUCGGCUAAAUGACGGAUACGUUCUAGGCGAUGCGCUCCUAGUUCUGAUUGUUCUGGCAACCGACCCAAGUAAUUGACGAUCUUUUUGAACAAAUUAUCAAAAUUGUAAGAAUGAAAUAACAGGCGGGCACUGGCUUCGAUACGACCAUAAUCAUUCUCCACGAUCACUCUGUACAGUCCUGCGUCUUCUUGGGUCACUUCGACGAUUUCCAGUAUCUUUACGUCGUCUCUUUCUUUUAUCGAGAUUCUAGCGGUU
This is a long non-coding RNA of Bombus huntii, 1907 nucleotides long. RefSeq lists it as uncharacterized. The record is from RefSeq and is a predicted model, not a curated record. The transcript has 3 exons. NCBI's taxonomy places the organism in Eukaryota, Metazoa, Arthropoda, Insecta, Hymenoptera, Apidae.